RNAcentral lists this ribosomal RNA (420 nucleotides) under Triticum aestivum (bread wheat). RNAcentral's name for it is "partial small subunit ribosomal RNA". The record is from RNAcentral. Lineage: Eukaryota; Viridiplantae; Streptophyta; Magnoliopsida; Poales; Poaceae.
AUGACAAGGCGAGGGAAGUGGCACCGGUGGAGACAAAGGAACGACACCAGGCUUAGUACCGUCCGCAGAUCGUCGCAGGCGCGCAGCCCCUGGCCUCCACAGAUCCCUCAAAAAACAGAGAAUAUGAGAUCCCGCCCGUCCGAUGCGGAGGACUCCACCUCGAGCAUGUAUGUACUCAUUGCACCAGGCCCAUCCAGCUUUGGCACGCACACGAGGGACCUGCUAGUCCCUUGCAACAAGAUGGGCACCAUCCACAACAACGGCACCGGUGACGUCGCCGUCAGGGCCGUCCCCGCCUGCGGGAUGAGGCUAUUGCUGCGGUGGCAGAUGGCCGUGGAUGGCGAGGUUGAGGCAGCCGCCAGCCUUUUUCGUGUAGUGGCGGCGGCCACGGAUGGGGAGAGUGGAGGAUGGGGGAUCUGA